UCAAGUGAAUAAGUGCACACGGUGGAUGCCUUGGCGACAACAGGCGAAGAAGGACGUGGAAAUCUGCGAAAAGCCCCGGGAAGCUGAUAACAAGCAAUGAUCCGGGGAUCUCCGAAUGGGGCAACCCGACCUUAGGGUCAUCCGUAGUUGAAUACAUAGACUGCGGAAGCGAACCGGGAGAACUGAAACAUCUAAGUACCCCGAGGAAAAGAAAUCAACCGAGAUUCCGCAAGUAGCGGCGAGCGAACGCGGAUUAGCCCAAUUAAGUUGCGCAUGAGUUAGCAGAACACUCUGGAAAGGGUGGCCAUAGAAGGUGAUAGCCCGGUAUGUGAAAGCCAUGCGUAAUGAAUCGAGUAGGGCGGGACACGUGAAAUCCUGUCUGAAUAUGGGGGGACCAUCCUCCAAGGCUAAAUACUCGUUGUCGACCGAUAGUGAACCAGUACCGUGAGGGAAAGGCGAAAAGAACCCUGGUGAAGGGAGUGAAAUAGAACCUGAAACCGUGUGCAUACAAGCAGUCAGAGCAUAUGAAGAUAUGUGAUGGCGUACCUUUUGUAUAAUGGGUCAGCGAGUUACAUUCAGUGGCGAGGUUAACCGAAUAGGGGAGCCGUAGCGAAAGCGAGUCUUAAUAGGGCGAUAAGUCUCUGGGUGUAGACCCGAAACCGGGCGAUCUAUCCAUGGGCAGGUUGAAGGUUGAGUAACAUCAACUGGAGGACCGAACCCACGCAUGUUGAAAAAUGCGGGGAUGACCUGUGGAUAGGAGUGAAAGGCUAAACAAGCUCGGAGAUAGCUGGUUCUCCCCGAAAACUAUUGAGGUAGUGCCUUGUAGAUUGACUUACGGGGGUAGAGCACUGUUUCGGCUAGGGGGUCAUACCGACUUACCAACCCGAUGCAAACUCCGAAUACCGUAAAGUUUUACUACAGGAGACACACGGCGGGUGCUAACGUCCGUCGUGAAGAGGGAAACAACCCAGACCGCCAGCUAAGGUCCCGAAAUGACAGUUCAGUGGGAAACGAAGUGGGAAGGCUUAGACAGCUAGGAGGUUGGCUUAGAAGCAGCCAUCCUUUAAAGAAAGCGUAAUAGCUCACUAGUCGAGUCGUCCUGCGCGGAAGAUUUACCGGGGCUAAACUGUCUACCGAAGCUGCGGAUUUGCAUGAAGAUGCAAGUGGUAGGGGAGCGUUGUGUAAGCCGAAGAAGGUGUGUUGAGAAGCAUGCUGGAGGUAUCACAAGUGCGAAUGCUGACAUGAGUAACGAUAAUGCGGGUGAAAAACCCGCACACCGAAAACCCAAGGUUUCCUGCGCAACGCUAAUCGGCGCAGGGUGAGUCGGCCCCUAAGGCGAGGCGGAAACGCGUAGUCGAUGGGAAACAGGUUAAUAUUCCUGUACUGAUCAUAAUUGCGAUGGGGGGACGGAGAAAGCUAGGCCAGCACACUGUUGGAUGUGUGUUUAAGCGCGUAGGUUGGGGACUUAGGCAAAUCCGGGUUCCUAAGACUGAAACGUGAUGACGAGUUUCUACGGAAACGAAGUGGUUGAUGCUCUGCUUCCAGGAAAAGCCUCUAAGCUUCAGAUUAUGACAACCGUACCCCAAACCGACACAGGUGGGUAGGAAGAGAAUUCCAAGGUGCUUGAGAGAACUCGGGUAAAGGAACUCGGCAAAAUGAUACCGUAACUUCGGGAUAAGGUAUGCCUCUGAUGGUGAAUAGCUGUUGGAGGCCGCAGAGAAUAGGCCGCUGCGACUGUUUAUCAAAAACACAGCACUCUGCAAACACGCAAGUGGACGUAUAGGGUGUGACGCCUGCCCGGUGCCGGAAGGUUAAUUGAUGGGGUGCAAGCUCUUGAUCGAAGCCCCGGUAAACGGCGGCCGUAACUAUAACGGUCCUAAGGUAGCGAAAUUCCUUGUCGGGU
Molecule: ribosomal RNA, 1903 nt
Filed under: human metagenome
Description: bacterial LSU rRNA
Rfam family: Bacterial large subunit ribosomal RNA
Source: RNAcentral